ACACGUGGCAGGGCUGUUUGCAGAAAAAGUGCACGGAAAGCAACUGCUAGGUGCCAGGCAGAGAGUAGGGGGCUCCAGAACUGGUAGAAGUCCUGGCGGUUACCGUCUAGAAUGAGAUAUGAAGGAAGCAUUGGAGGUUUCCAGCCUUGGGCUGGCAUUUUCAUCUUUGACAAAGGUGACUCCAGCAGCGUGUGGAGCAACGAAUUGAGUGGAGGUAGAGAAAGGAGUUGACAGACUUUCCAAGGCCAGCUGAGAGAGAAGAGAUCCACAGCAGGGCAGAAGCGCGGCUCAGCAGCAGAAACCUGUUUGCUGCACAUCCUUUGGCUCCUGGCCCUGCCUCUGCGAGCCUGCUUCUCUGCAGGAAUCCCUAGGAACCUAUGCACACUGCCCAGCUCCCAGGACCGGUGCCAAAGCCAUCAAGCAUGGAACAACGCAUGAAAGGAGAAGGGUGGGUUGGAGGAGAGGAAGAGGCUUCCCAGGGGACAUAGAAGACUCCAAUGUGGAUCCAUAAUCACCCCCCGGAAACUUCUGCAACCCGAAUGUCCAAACGAGAAGUUUAAAGGAGAGUGAAAGCGCAUACGAUGCACACGUGCUCACUGUAUACGUUUCUGAGAUGGGAGCCAGACUGAGAGAGCCCACGCCAGCUGUGGAAUGUUUUCCAGAGCUCCCAGGCGCAGACUUGCAGGCAGGAGUGGGAGGCUGGGGAGGGGGGCGGGGCUUCUCCCUACAGGCUUCUCUCUGGAUACUGAGCUCACGUGCCCAUUGCGAUUGAAAACACAUGCGCUGUCAGGCCAGGCAGGAACCAGAAAUCAACAACGUAAAAAUACUGCCGCGCGCAGACACCCUCCCUCCGCGAUCUCGCCCCGCCUCCCCAGUCUCCCUUCAUUUCUUUAUUGGCAACGGGGCUCGCUGGGGAAGAACAGGCUCCCGUCAUAAAUAAUCAGGCAAAAAUCUCACAGGUUGUUACCAAAUUCUCAGCAAGAUCCAUUACCAAGAAUGUCGUGAAUUAUCCAUGUUAGCCCAGCGCCCCUCCCCAUUCUCAUCUCUUUGCUGUUUCAUUCACGCAUCAGUCCAAUUUAUGCUUGAACACCCCCAGUGAUGAAAAGCUGACAGAACAGCCCGAUAAUUGAGAACAGAAGCCUUGGAACAGGUGCUCUGCGGCUCCAGUCCUGGUGCUGCUGCCACCGAACUGCAGGAGUUUGGGCCAGUAUUUCAGCCUUGCUCAUCAUCGGUUUCGUCAUCAACACAAGAGGCUACUGCAAAAAGCUAGCGGGAAACAGAAUUAAAAGGUCUUCCUUAACACUUGGUCAUGCAGAGCCAGAGACAGCUGCCCAUGACUCAGUAGCACUCCCUGGAAAAGGCUUCAGCUAAAACAGCGCACCACAGUAACACCAGCUCCGCUGGAAAGGAAAAACGAGAACUAGAGAACUUAGACUCAAGAUGACAAAGAAAGGGUUUUGUCUGUUUCAGGAAGACAUUUGCCAAUGAAGAUAUUCUUCACAGCUUCUAGAGGGUAGUUCUAAAAUUUAAACAUCAGUGAGCAAAUUCAGCAUCUGGUUAUUCUUAACUUUUAUCCAAAAUCUUUGCCAGGGUUCCUGUCACUACUAGCGCUGUCAUGAACAUGUGAUUUCUUACGAAUGCUUCUAACCCAAUACCUCCCUGUGUUAGGAUGAAUGCAGCCUUGGACAAGUUAGCGUGUUACAGGGGGCAGUUCGCUUCUGUUCCUGAUCCACACUGUAAGUUCCGUAAGAGCAGGAAGGGUGGCUAUCCUGAUUGCCUUUGAGUUCCCAGCACCUACCGUGGUGUCUGCUCCUGUUAGGAACGUAAUAGAUGUUUGUUGAAUGAAUGAAUGAACGAACUUAUAAGCAAUUAGUAACAGGUGAAAAGUAAAUCAUGUCCCUUUAUUCAUCCAGUUUCGGUUAUAAAGAUAUAUGUAAUAAGUUAUUAUAUCCAAUUUCAAUUAUAAAAAUUUAUGUAAUGAUCCAAGAGCAUCUGAAGACAUGUUGUGUAUUUUCUCACUCCUGAAACCAUUUCCUUUUUUUAAAAAAAAGAUUUUUAUUUAUUUAUUUGAAAGUCAGAGUUACAGAGAGAGAUAAGGAAAGGGAGAGAGAGAGAGAGAGAGAGAGAGAGAGAGAGAGAAAGGUCUUCCAUCCGCUGGUUCACUCCCCAAAUGGCCGCAAUGGCCAGAGCUGCGCUGAUCCAAAGCCAGGAGCCAGGAGCUUCCUGCAGGUCUCCCAUGUAGGUGCAGGGGCCCAAGGACUUGGGCCAUCUUCCGCUGCUUUCCCAGGCCAUAGCAGAGAACUGGAUGGGAAGUGGAGCAGCCGGGACUAGAACCAGCGCCCAGAUGGGAUGUACCUGCUAUGUUUUAAGUAAUAUACAGGACCAAAAGAGCCUCUGCCUUCAGUGACCUAGUGAGAAACAAACACUUCUGAAAUGUGAGAAUAAUAAUUUGAGCACUGAUAUGGUGACAACAAUGGGCAACUAGCACAACAAAUUUACAAAGGCAAAAAUCUAUUUAAAAGUUCAACCUCAGGGCCGUCACUGUGGCACAACAGGUUAAGCUGUCACCUACAAGGCCAGCAUCCCAUAUGGGUGCCAGUUUGAGUCCCAGCUGCUCCACUUCCAAUCCAGUUCCGCACUAAUGUGCCUGGGAGGGCAGCAGAGAAUGGCCCAAGUCUCCUGCACCACGUGAGGACCCAGUGGAGUUCCUGGUUCCUGCUGCAUCCUGGCCCAGCCCUGGCUGUUGCAGCCAUCUGAAAAGUGAUCUGGAGAAUGAAAGACCUUCCUCCUCCUCCUCUUCCCUCCUGUGCCCUUCCCUCCUUCCCUCAUUCUCUCUGUUGCUCUGCCUCUCAAGUAAAUAAUUUUUCAAAAAGUUGCUCAACAGCAAGCAAGGGCAUGAAAACUAAAACUCCAGUGAGAUCUCACGUUUUGAAUAAUUAGAGGGUUUCUUCAGAUGGCUAGGGAACAUGCAUUUUAUAAAUCAUGGAUUCCACACACGUUUAUACCAAAAUAAGUAUAUUUUCAGAUUCCACUUUCCACAGCCUCAGUCCCCUUGCACAAUUUGAGAAGACUGAAAAGGAAGGGAGGGUGCAGGACUGGUGGAUCUGGGGGCGUCAGUCAUUCCUGUUCACAGUGAGCAGAAGGAUAGGCAGCCUGCCAGGGCCCUUCCAGAGAGCACCUUGGCAGGCAGUUGCAAAAACGUUCGUUCGCACACCCUUUGACAUCGCACUCCCACUUGUAUAGAUACAUCCUUGGGAAGUUAUUGGAGACAUCCACAGAGAUACAUGUGCAAACAUAUUCAUUGCAGCAGCAUUCAUAAAAAAAGUAGGAAACUUAAAUAUCUGAUGUUAGGAGAGAGAUUAAACUGCAAUAUAUAUAAUCUAAUAUUAUACCUAGGAUACCUCUAUGUCAUAAGCAAGUUUGUUUUUUUUUAACCAAGAAAAUGUUUGUAGUUUAUUGCUAAGUGCAAACUUUAAAGGGGAAAAUAUGUCAGUGCAGAAACUCAGUAAUAGGCGGUCCCUCUGAGCUGGUUAACACCUAGCUUCUUUUGGGCCUUAACCCCUCCAUCUUCAUCUACAAUGGAGAUGAGUUCCUUUUCUCUUAUAUUUUCACAGCUCCAUAGCCUCUCCUUAUCACUUGUCAACAAUAAGAAUAAAGUUGUAAUUUGCAUUGGUUUGUGUGACUCUGCUUAAUGUUGGACUCUCCAACCAGACCAUAGCUGAAUGAAGGAAGGGGCCUGUGCCUGGCACAUUAAGUAUACCAUUAUUUUGAAAUGAUGAGAUGUGACCCCCAUCUUAAUAUAAAAAUCUGUAAGCAUAUAUGGGGAGGAGACUGUGAGAGCAUUUCCACUGUCAAUAUUUUAAUAAUAGAGUUUCUAGGACUAGAAACUUCCAAGUCUUCUGACUUGAGUAUAUUAAAGUUCUUCCAUCAUUUAAAAAAUAAUCAAUAUUAUAGAAAAAAUAAAUCUACAAAAUCAGUGUGGUGAACAACGUAUGUCUACAGAUGAUAUUCCUUGGGCACUUAGGGUUUCCUGAUUUGCUGGACUCGGGAACUGGGGGUAGAUUGAGGGGGUGGGAAUUAUAUCUGGUAGUAUCCAGUAGGGCAGGGAUGCGGGAGGAGACACCAGGAAGCCUUUAUCAGAGUU
This is a non-coding RNA of Oryctolagus cuniculus (rabbit), 4144 nucleotides long. NCBI's taxonomy places the organism in Eukaryota, Metazoa, Chordata, Mammalia, Lagomorpha, Leporidae. The record is from RefSeq and is a predicted model, not a curated record.